UGGGGAAUAUUGCACAAUGGGGGAAACCCGUAGAUGCAGCGACGCCGCGUGAGUGAAGAAGUAUUUCGGUAUGUAAAGCUCUAUCAGCAGGAAAGAAAAUGACGGUACCUGACUAAGAAGCCCCGGCUAACUACGUGCCAGCAGCCGCGGUAAUACGUAGGGGGCAAGCGUUAUCCGGAUUUACUGGGUGUAAAGGGAGCGUAGGCCGCCUGGUAAGCGUGUUGUGAAAUGUCGUUGCUCAACAACGUCACUGCAGCGCGAACUGCUGGGCUUGAGUGUGCGGAAAGCGGGCGGAAUUUGUGGUGUAGCGGUGAAAUGCUUAGAUAUCACGAAGAACUCCGAUUGCGAAGGCAGCUCGCUGUAGCAUUACUGACGCUGAAGCUCGAAGGUGCGGGUAUCGAACAGGAUUAGAUACCCUGGUAGU
This 424-nucleotide ribosomal RNA is filed under the name uncultured Lachnospiraceae bacterium. Its description in RNAcentral is "bacterial SSU rRNA". It matches the Rfam family "Bacterial small subunit ribosomal RNA", at positions 355 to 794 of the family's 1533-position model. Lineage: Bacteria; Bacillati; Bacillota; Clostridia; Lachnospirales; Lachnospiraceae. The record is from RNAcentral.